Molecule: long non-coding RNA, 248 nt
Organism: Mya arenaria
Lineage: Eukaryota; Metazoa; Mollusca; Bivalvia; Myida; Myidae
Exons: 3
Source: RefSeq, a predicted model, not a curated record
GUUUGUACGGACUACGGCUGUAGUGAAUCCUUAUACUCGAAGCCGCUGGAAACAGGUGUAUCGACUAAUAUGACGGGGGCACUUGUGGGCGGAGCGGUGUCAGCGGUUAUUGAGCUGGUGAUUGUAUUGGUGAUAUUCUUUAUGAGAAAGAGAAACGCAGCCUGUUUCAAAAAGGAAACAGAAAGCAUAACACAUACUUCCAGUGAUCGAUUCGUUGAAAUGAGGACAAUGCACACGAAUGAACAAAC